ACCAUACAUAUAUGAAUAAUAAUUGUAACAAAAAUGGACAGUUUAUAAAGAGAGGAAUCACAUAUAUAUAACAAAAUUUUCACUACACAAGUUUAUUACAGUAUCAUGGUGAAGAAUAAAUUAAAAUAAAAAAGUAUAUGAACCUCAUUAAUGGUGCAAUGGAUUUGGACCAGUUGGAACAAGGCGUUUAUCAACACCAUACAGUGGAUCGAUCUCGGAUUUCUUUGGCUCAUUAGGGUGAGCCAUCCUCGUGUGACUCCGGUAGUGGUGAUCUUGAUGCCGAUGAUGAAGACGACUAUGGCGGUGCCGGUUGAUAAAUGGGGUGAAAUCAAAUCCAGUUGCUAACAUUUUCCUACUUUGAGAAACCGGAAACUUGUUUCCGGUGAUCAUGGUUUUUCCACUAGUACUAGUACUAAUAUUUGAUUUGAAACCAAAAAACAUAUGAAAGAGUAUAAAAAAUAGGAAUAACCAAAUAAUAAAACUAAGUACAUGUUGGAGUUUGAUGGUCAUGGCAAUGAAAGUGAAGUAGAAAGAGAUUGAAAUGAUUGCAUGGAGGGAGAGAGAAUUUUUUUGGAAGAAGAGUUUGAUGAAUAUUGAGGUUUUAGAGGAAGGGAAAGUUUUGAAGGUUUGACAAGGUGCUAAGCAUGCAUAUGAUGAAAUUAUUUUGUUAUGGUAGCUUGACAUGAGGUAGUGCUUGCUUCCAUGAGACUUUAGCUUAUAAAUUAUAUAUAUGUGUGUGUAUAGUAUAUGACUAUAUGGUAUAAUAAUAAAUUUAGGGAGUUGAAUUAAUUUGGAAGGUCCAGUAGAUGCGGAGAGGAGGCAAGAUUGUCGAGCAUUCUUCUUCCAAUGAAGCUUCCUUUGCGUUCAAGGAACAUAGGGUCAUUUAAGAGCAAAUUGUCAAACCUUGAAAUAUAUAUUGGUAUUACCACUAGAACUAGAACAGGUCAAAAAGUUUGUGAUUAUAUUUAUAGGGGUACAUAGUAACGGGUAUAAAUAUAUGAAAUCAGAAUAAAAAUGACAAUGAGUGAGUGAGUAAUAAUACUAUCAUUUAUCCAACGAAAUACUUAAUUGGUAUGUUAUUCAAUAGAUAGAUAAAUAAAUUGUAUCAUAUGACAACAUUCCAAUUUUGUUUUGUACUUUAAAACACAAAACAUCUAAGGAGCCCUUACUAUAGAUCCUUAAAGAAGCCCUCAAAAAUAAAUUAUAUUU
RNAcentral lists this long non-coding RNA (1209 nucleotides) under Medicago truncatula (barrel medic). RNAcentral's name for it is "long non-coding RNA (MTRU_LNC006467)". Lineage: Eukaryota; Viridiplantae; Streptophyta; Magnoliopsida; Fabales; Fabaceae. The record is from RNAcentral.